AAAACCUUACCUACCCUUGACAUGUACGGAACUUGCCAGAGAUGGCUUGGUGCUCGAAAGAGAGCCGUAACACAGGUGCUGCAUGGCUGUCGUCAGCUCGUGUCGUGAGAUGUUGGGUUAAGUCCCGCAACGAGCGCAACCCUUGUCAUUAGUUGCUACAUUUAGUUGGGCACUCUAAUGAGACUGCCGGUGACAAACCGGAGGAAGGUGGGGAUGACGUCAAGUCCUCAUGGCCCUUAUGGGUAGGGCUACACACGUCAUACAAUGGCUGGUACAAAGGGUUGCCAACCCGCGAGGGGGAGCUAAUCCCAUAAAGCCAGUCGUAGUCCGGAUCGUAGUCUGCAACUCGACUGCGUGAAGUCGGAAUCGCUAGUAAUCGUGGAUCAGAAUGUCACGGUGAAUACGUUCCCGGGUCUUGUACACACCGCCCGUCACACCAUGGGAGCGGGUCUCGCCAGAAGUAGUUAGCCUAACCGCAAGGGGG
Molecule: ribosomal RNA, 484 nt
Filed under: uncultured bacterium
Lineage: Bacteria
Description: bacterial SSU rRNA
Rfam family: Bacterial small subunit ribosomal RNA
Source: RNAcentral